This 6003-nucleotide long non-coding RNA is filed under the name Sus scrofa (pig). Its description in RNAcentral is "lncRNA (ENSSSCG00050039889.1)". The record is from RNAcentral. Lineage: Eukaryota; Metazoa; Chordata; Mammalia; Artiodactyla; Suidae.
GGAUCCUUUUCAAGGUCCGUUCCCACCACCACCAGCUCCCUGGCCGCCUGAAAGUGAUGACGUUGCCACACUUCCAGUGCAGCAUCUCCACUGUGGUCCACCUCCUUUCCCACCUUCUCUUUGAUGGAUUUCUGCCCUGUGAGGGACAGAUUUUAUUUUAUUUUAUUUAUUUACUUAUUUUGUCUUUUGUCUUUUUUUAGGGCCAUACCCUCGGCAUAUGGAAGUUCCCAGGUUAGGGGUCCAAUCAGAGCUAUAGCUACCGGCCUACGCCACAGACACAGCAAUGCCAGAUCCGAGCCAUGUCUGCUACCUACAUCACAGCUCAUGGCAACACUGGAUCCUUAGCUCACUGAGCGCGGCCAGGGAUCAAACCCUCAACCUCAUGGUUCCUAGUCAGAUUCGUUUCCGCUGAGCUACAACGGGAACUUCCAGAUUUCAUUUUGAAUUGAAAGUGACCCAGCAAAUCUGCUUGGUAUCAUAUUCCUCGUGUUUUGCUUGUAUUUUCAGUGUGGAACAAAGAAAGUCAACUGAAUUGUGUGUUUUGAGUCUGGGGAUUUUUUUUUUUUCCCCCAUCUUUCUUAACCAUGCCCAAAUCCUGGGUCCCUUUUAGUGAUUUUUGUCUUGUGUUUGUACACUCUCACUAUUUGCUGUCCUUUGAGUUUCAGUCUUAUUUUCAUCCCAAAUAGUGGGUUAAAAAUAUUAGUCCAGGAGUUCCUGCUGUGGUAUAAUGGAUUAAAGAUCUGGAGUUCUCUCUGUGGCAGCACGGGUUUGAUUCCCCAACCUGGUGCAAUGGGAUAAGGAUCUGGCCUUGCUGCAACUGUGGUGUAGGUUGUGGAUAUGGCUGGGGUUUGAUCCCUGGCCCAGAAACUUCCAUAUGCUAUGGGUGCAGCAGAAAAAAACAAAACCCUGUAUAGGAGUUGACAAAAAGUGAACCAUCGCAUCGGUCCUUUGACCAAACCUGGCCAAAAGGGCCCUCUGCUUAAAACAAUAACAAGGAGUUCCGGAGUUGCUGUAGUGGCACAGUGGAACGAAUCUGACUAGGAACCAUGAGGUUGUGGGUUCGAUCCCUGGCCUUGCUCAGUGGGUUAAGGAUCUGGCAUUGCCGUGUGACCUGUGGUAUAGGUCGCAGACUGACACAGCUCUGAUCUGGCACUGCUGUGGCUCUGGGUAGGCCGGAGGCUACACCUCCAAUUCGCCUCCAAGCCUGGGAACCUCCACAUGCUGCUGGUGAGGCCUUAAAAAAAAAACAGACAAUAAACACAAACAGACAAACAACAACAACAAAAAACCAAGGAGUUCCCUGGUGGCCUGGCAGUUAAGGAUCCCGUGUUGUCCCUGCUGUGGCUAAGGUUCAGUCUCCGGCCCAGGAACUUCCACAUGCCUCGGAUAGGACCAAAAAAUAAAAAAUUUAAAAUAAAAAAAAAAAACAACAAGAAGCAUGAUGUGCCCAUAUCAUCCAUUCAUCUCUUCCCCUUUCCCUGAAUAUUAGAAAGUAUCCAUAGCUAGUCCCCCACUACCCUUUCCUCGCCUGGUCCUUCCCUACCUAACAGGUUGCCUCUGAAGCCCCCAGGAAGACUCACUCUCCCCAUCUCCACCUCAGUUGCUUUCCUGUGGGUGUGAUUCAGGGCCCCUUAUCUUAAGGGGCUGGGACAGAGCUGGCAGGCCGAGGCCGUGAUGCCGGUGGAUUAAUACGUAGCUCUCAGUGUUAGACACCAUCUUGUAUAGGGACAUUUCAUGGAUUUGUCGGCAUUUUUGUUUUAUCAUGAACCUAUUUCUGAUAGUUUUUCUUACCACUGGUCCAUCCACCAAGCAUCUAGUCUAUCUGUACAGAGCUGGGAGCUGCCUGGAGUCAGCUCCUUAACCAAAUGCCACGGGUGUCCAUUUCCUUCCAAUAUAUGGCUCCUAAUAUUGGGACCUUCAUCCUUUGGGACUUGGGAAUCCUCCUUCCCCAUCCUUGGUAGAUAACUGGGGAAAACAAUAGGGCUAAUACCAGGUCACACAAAAUGGAGCAUUUUAUGUGCACCAGGAGCCAUUCUGGAGCCCUUGUGUGUAUCUUCUCUUUGACUCCUCAUAAUGACCUUAUCAAGAUGUCCUGCUGUUGACCCCAUUUUAUAGAGAGUAAAAUGAAGAUACAGAAAAGCGAAGUAACCUCAUGGUCACACAGCCCUGUAUCUGGGCUUUAAGCCUGAGCUCCUCUGCUUUCCUCCAAAAGGCUUUACAUGAUGUGCUCACUCUUUCCCCAGGCAGCUCAUCCUAUCCUUAGGGCUCCUGAUGGAAAAGUUUCUUUGUGGUCAAAAUCCUCAUUGUAGAUAUUAUCUGUGACAGUUUGGGGCACAGAAUCUUGUCAGUUCCAAAAAAAAUAAAUUUCCAGACUUAAGGUCUCAUCAAAGUUCCUUUUUUUACCCCUCCACCCUUCCCUGAGCAUCCUCUCAGUUGCCAAGCCCUAUUUAUUUAACCUCUGCAAUCUCUCUGCUGCCCUGUGUUCUUCUUGUCAUUUUCUCCCCAAUGUCCCAGGAUAGAGACUUGGUUCCUUCGUGAGGCCCUCAUGGUUCUCUGCCCUGGCGCCAUUCUCCUUUCUGUUGCCCUCGCCAGGCCCUCAUGGAAUAACCAAGUGCCUCUCAUGGGACUGGCUCCUUUCUCAGAGAUAGGAUAGAUCCAGGAGUGAUAGAUUCCCACUUGGUCGCUGGCCUUGUGGAGCUUACACCAACCCACUUCUUUGACCCUCUUUCUUGCCCUGCUCUUGAACUUGGGCAACUCAUGUUAGAGCUUCCUUCAGCUGUGGGUGCCAAUCCUCCUCUACCCCCCUCCUCCUCUGCCUAUUAACAUCCUACUCAUCCUUCAAGGCUUGGCUCAGAUACCACUUCUCUGAAGCCUUUUCAAUUUAGCCCAGUCUGUGUGACUCACUCCUUUGUCUGGGCUUCCACAAGUGUGUGUUUGUAUUUCAUUAUAACCUUUGUUCGAGUCUGCUAUGUAUUUUAGAGCGUUCUUUUCAGAUGUGAAAGCCACAGAUUUUUGCCCGAAGGUAAGAACCUAUGUAACUUAUUUUUCUGUGCCCCAGAGCACACGGAAUAGGGAGUAGGUGCUCUGUUGAUAUUAUUAGGCAGAGUAAAAAUAAUUACCAUUAUGUUAAGGGCCUCUGUGCCUCAAGAAUGCUAGAUAUUUUGUGUGUGUCCUUGUUUUUGCUCCUACCAGCUAGUUUGUGAGUUAUGGAUACGAUCAUUAUCCAUCUUACAGAUGAGAAAAUUGACGUCCAGCAAGAUGAUGUAACUUGCUCAGAGUCACAGAGUUACUAAGGUGAGGGGCAAGUAUUUGCACUCAGGAAUGCCUGGUUCCAUAGUCCAUGCUCAAAAACCCCAGGAUACCUAAGAAAUACACUGUGGUUGUUGCAGUGGCUCCUGGAAGUCCAGAUGAAGAAUCCACAUCCCUUCCCUAAAUACUCACAUGGCUCAAUUUCCUCAUCUUUCCAUAUCCUGGAAAUUUCCUCUUUUUACUCAUUCUGUAUAGUUUGAGUAUCCCUAAAACUGUGCUAUAAAAAACUGGAAAGAGGAUUCCAGAUUUGCAGUUUUGGACACUGGUCCUUUUUUUUUUUUUUAUUUAUUUAUGACCAUUGACCAAAAUUUUAUGUUGCAUUGAAGAACAGUCAUAAAUAACCUAGGAGCACAGUAUCACAUAUUGAGAGUUACACUGAGUGUGGGUUCAGUUAGCUCAGCUUUGUUUUUGAGCUGGUAUCAGGCAAGGGCCUCCCCAUCAUGUUGGUUGAAUCCUUUGGUUGCAAGCAACAGAGUUGAACUCUGGAUUUCAAUUUAAAGGAAAAGAAUUGAUUGGAGGAAUAGCCAGUAGCUCCCAGAAUGGACAGAAAAUUUGGGCAGGAUAGGAGGCAGUACAUUUCCAGUAUAUGGAACGUGAGUGAACUUGACCAGCUCAUCAGUGUCACUGCUGAAAGAAGUGCUCCCCAACUAUUUUUCUAUGCUCACAUCAGUCUCCUGAGAUGAAUCAGAUGGGCCUUCUUUGUACCUCCUACCUACCCAUGGCUGUGAGAGGGCAGAGGGGGGCUGACUGAGGAGUACUACCUCACUUGCAACACGGGGGAGGGGUAAUUCUGAGCAAGGAAAUGCAAGUAAAAAUGGAUUCUGGAUAGCCCCCCAAUUUCACAAACACCGGCUGUCCCUGAAUUCUGUACUCAUAGUAAUGUUUAUUGAAGAGGUAUGUAGAGGUUUGCCUCUGUAAAGUCUUCCCUUUUGAAACUUCAGGCCUCCUUUUUUUUUUUUUUUUUUUUUUUCCUUCUUCGAGCUACACCUAUGGCAUGUGGAGGUUCCCAAGCUAGGGGUCGAAUCAGAGCUGCAGCUGCCAGCCUACACCACAGCCACAGCAACGCCAGAUCUGAGCUACGUCUGCAGCCUAUACUGUAGUUCCUGGCACUACCAGAUCCUUAACCCACUGGGCGAGGCCAGGGUUUGAACCCACAUUCUCAUAGAUAUUAGUUGAAUUUGUUUCUGCUGAGCCACAGCGGGAACUCCCCAGGCCUCCUUUCUAGCCAGGAUCUUGAUUCUGUCAUUGUUGGUAUGGGGAAACCUUCCAGCUUUUUGUCACAGCGAGUUUGAUGAACCUGCCUUUAUCUCGUAGGGCCUGUCUGGUAUGUAAGUCCCUGGGAAAUACGUAUAACCUACUCAGACCUGUUGCUAGCUUCCUACUUGAAGACCUUCCUCCAGCUAGUUCUAAUAAAAUCCAAGCCCUAAAAACCCCUCAUCAAAUAAUAAGAGAGAAAUAGAGUAAAUGCACAAUUCAUGAGAUUAAUAUAGAGCAGAAAGACAAUCUCUUUUUUUUUUUUCCUAAUAAUCUUUACUUUUAUAUCCUACUUUAUGGGGGUGCUGUUUAAUUUCAUGUUCAUUUACUUUAAUUACUUCUCACAUGUAGUUUGCGGGGAAGUUUGCCAUUUUCCAACAUCUAAAAGAUGGCUUACUUGAGUUUCGUUUCAGACCCUUUUAGAAUUAAUGUGUAAUAAAACCCAAUGUGGAUAUUUCUCAUUUUUCACCUCAAAGGAUUAUUCAUCAUAAUAGAAUCAGUUUUUCCAGGGAGAUUUUAUCAGACUUACAAGUCAAAUUAGUUGAGUGCAUUUCUUCUGCUAAUAAACAGAGAACCUUUACCCUGGAAGCAUCUCUAUGCUGAAUUCCAAUAAUUCAUUGUUUCCUUGCCUCAAGAGAUCAACCUAUAAACGACCUCAGAAUAAAAACAUAAAUUUAUUAGUCUAAAAGGAGGUUGUUAAGAUGGGAGAAUUUGAGAAUAAAAGAAAGGUCAUAAAAUCAAAAUGUAAAUAUUGACUAUAUGGUAAAAUUAAAACAAAACAAAACAAAACAAUUUUAGAGGGAUAGACUUAAUUCUCCCUGACCCUAAGCAGAGCUUUUGGGGGGACAGAUUUUCAUGUGUAUGUAGUUGCAUUUGUUGGUGUGUUAUAGCUGAAGAAGAUGCCAGAUGGGUAAGAGGUGGUCGUAUAUUUCCGUUAAAAAUUCUAGGUUGCUCAUUUAGAAGAUAGUGGCUACUGGGCUAGAAUCAGGCCAAGCUGAAGGGUGCCUGGUUUGAUCACUGCCUCUGUUUUGAUUGGCUCCUUGAUCUGUAGGUCCAAGGUUAAUUGUGGGAAGAUUUUGGCCCUGAAACUAUGACAAGCCCUUACAUGAAUGGAAAGGGGAUGUAGUUUCUUUCAAGUGCAUCUCUUAGGGGUAGGUGUGAUCCCUUGACUCAGUGCUUGACGAUAGUGAGUGCAUUGGUUCUUGGGAUGAGUUAGUUCUAAAUCCUGCUUUUAAGUUCAGUCAAAGUUGCCGUGACCUUCUCAAGCUGCUUGCUCACAAGUGCUCCAAAUGCUGUGAUGCUGGGCGUUUUGUCAGUUAAGUUACGUUCAUAACCAAGCAAUGCUUGCUUCUCUAAGAUACGGCAGAUUUGACCUGAGAGAAGAGAGCUGAGCGUGGAUUUCCUUUCACUCCAUAGAUAAGAUCUGCUUAGGCAGAGACU